This 429-nucleotide ribosomal RNA is filed under the name uncultured bacterium. RNAcentral's name for it is "bacterial SSU rRNA". It matches the Rfam family "Bacterial small subunit ribosomal RNA", at positions 355 to 796 of the family's 1533-position model. The record is from RNAcentral.
UGGGGAAUAUUGCACAAUGGGCGAAAGCCUGAUGCAGCGACGCCGCGUGAGGGAUGACGGCCUUCGGGUUGUAAACCUCUUUCAGCAGGGAAGAAGCGAAAGUGACGGUACCUGCAGAAGAAGCGCCGGCUAACUACGUGCCAGCAGCCGCGGUAAUACGUAGGGCGCAAGCGUUGUCCGGAAUUAUUGGGCGUAAAGAGCUCGUAGGCGGCUUGUCACGUCGGAUGUGAAAGCCCGGGGCUUAACCCCGGGUCUGCAUUCGAUACGGGCAGGCUAGAGUUCGGUAGGGGAGAUCGGAAUUCCUGGUGUAGCGGUGAAAUGCGCAGAUAUCAGGAGGAACACCGGUGGCGAAGGCGGAUCUCUGGGCCGAUACUGACGCUGAGGAGCGAAAGCGUGGGGAGCGAACAGGAUUAGAUACCCCCGUAGUCC